AUACGUAGGUGGCAAGCGUUGUCCGGAUUUAUUGGGCGUAAAGGGAGCGCAGGUGGUUUCUUAAGUCUGAUGUGAAAGCCCACGGCUUAACCGUGGAGGGUCAUUGGAAACUGGGGAACUUGAGUGCAGAAGAGGAAAGCGGAAUUCCAUGUGUAGCGGUGAAAUGCGUAGAUAUAUGGAGGAACACCAGUGGCGAAAGCGGCUUUCUGGUCUGUAACUGACACUGAGGCUCGAAAGCGUGGGGAGCAAACAGGAUUAGAUACCCUGGUAGUCCACGCCGUAAACGAUGAGUGCUAAGUGUUGGAGGGUUUCCACCCUUCAGUGCUGGCGUUAACGCAAUAAGCACUCCGCCUGGGGAGUACGACCGCAAGGUUGAA
This 377-nucleotide ribosomal RNA is filed under the name uncultured bacterium. Its description in RNAcentral is "bacterial SSU rRNA". It matches the Rfam family "Bacterial small subunit ribosomal RNA", at positions 523 to 898 of the family's 1533-position model. The record is from RNAcentral.